AGAGUUUGAUCAUGGCUCAGGACGAACGCUGGCGGCGUGCUUAACACAUGCAAGUCGAACGGUAAGGCCCUUCGGGGUACACGAGUGGCGAACGGGUGAGUAACACGUGGGUGAUCUGCCCUGCACUUCGGGAUAAGCCUGGGAAACUGGGUCUAAUACCGGAUAGGACCAUGGACUUCACGGUUUGUGGUGGAAAGCUUUUGCGGUGUGGGAUGGGCCCGCGGCCUAUCAGCUUGUUGGUGGGGUAAUGGCCUACCAAGGCGACGACGGGUAGCCGGCCUGAGAGGGUGUCCGGCCACACUGGGACUGAGAUACGGCCCAGACUCCUACGGGAGGCAGCAGUGGGGAAUAUUGCACAAUGGGCGCAAGCCUGAUGCAGCGACGCCGCGUGAGGGAUGACGGCCUUCGGGUUGUAAACCUCUUUCAAUAGGGACGAAGCGCAAGUGACGGUACCUAUAGAAGAAGCACCGGCCAACUACGUG
Molecule: ribosomal RNA, 482 nt
Filed under: uncultured bacterium
Lineage: Bacteria
Description: bacterial SSU rRNA
Rfam family: Bacterial small subunit ribosomal RNA
Source: RNAcentral